CGUGUAGGUGGUUAGGAAAGUUGGAUGUGAAAGCCCUGGGCUCAACCCAGGAAGUGCAUCCAAAACUGCUUAGCUAGAGGGCGAGAGAGGGAGGUGGAAUUCCUAGUGUAGAGGUGAAAUUCGUAGAUAUUAGGAGGAAUACCGGUGGCGAAGGCGGCCUCCUGGAUCGAUCCUGACACUGAGACGCGAAAGCGUGGGGAGCAAACA
This 207-nucleotide ribosomal RNA is filed under the name uncultured bacterium. Its description in RNAcentral is "partial 16S ribosomal RNA". It matches the Rfam family "Bacterial small subunit ribosomal RNA", at positions 568 to 774 of the family's 1533-position model. The record is from RNAcentral.